GCAAGUGCUGACCAGGAUGCUGAGAAGCUGCCAGGGUGGCAGCGCAGGCAUUUUGAAAACAGUCUGAAGUCUCCAAAAGGUUUGGAGCCCAGUGCUUGACUCCAUCCACAAGUUCUCUUCACCACCAGAAGCACCAACCGCCCCUCACUCUCAGAUGACCCAAAGCCCUUCUCUGGGACCAGGGUGCCCACAGGAGGAGGAGGAACCCCCCACUCUGAGGGCGGCUGGGAGAGGAGCAGAGCACAGUGGCAGCUUGUCCUGCGGCCAGGGAGGAGGCUGACAGCAGGUGGCUGGUUACGCCUAUGGGACCUGCUUGGCGGGCUGGGUGGCUUUCUACAAGCUCAGCAUUGGCUGCGGCUGUGGAGCCUUCCUCACAGAGCGGUGCUGAGCGCCCUGGGCCUGCAUUUCCUUGGAGGUGGUGUCAGG
This 426-nucleotide long non-coding RNA is filed under the name Heterocephalus glaber (naked mole-rat). Its description in RNAcentral is "lncRNA (ENSHGLG00000035858.1)". Lineage: Eukaryota; Metazoa; Chordata; Mammalia; Rodentia; Bathyergidae. The record is from RNAcentral.